UACGGGGGGGGCAAGCGUUGUUCGGAAUUACUGGGCGUAAAGGGCUCGUAGGCGGCCAACUAAGUCAGACGUGAAAUCCCUCGGCUUAACCGGGAAACUGCGUCUGAUACUGGAUGGCUUGGAUUUGGGAGAGGGAUGCGGAAUUCCAGGUGUAGCGGUGAAAUGCGUAGAUAUCUGGAGGAACACCGGUGGCGAAGGCGGCAUCCUGGACCAAUAUUGACGCUGAGGAGCGAAAGCCAGGGGAGCAAACGGG
RNAcentral lists this ribosomal RNA (253 nucleotides) under uncultured bacterium. RNAcentral's name for it is "partial 16S ribosomal RNA". It matches the Rfam family "Bacterial small subunit ribosomal RNA", at positions 524 to 776 of the family's 1533-position model. The record is from RNAcentral.